AUACGGAGGAUGCGAGCGUUAUCCGGAUUUAUUGGGUUUAAAGGGAGCGUAGGUGGGAUAUUAAGUCAGCUGUGAAAGUUUGGGGCUCAACCUUAAAAUUGCAGUUGAUACUGGUUUCCUUGAGUACGGUAUAGGUGGGCGGAAUUCGUGGUGUAGCGGUGAAAUGCUUAGAUAUCACGAAGAACUCCGAUCGCGCAGGCAGCUCACCGGGCCGGAACUGACACUGAUGCUCGAAAGUGCGGGUAUCAAACAGGAUUAGAUACCCUGGUAGUCCGCACAGUAAACGAUGAAUACUCGCUGUUUGCGAUACACUGUAAGCGGCCAAGCGAAAGCGUUAAGUAUUCCACCUGGGGAGUACGCCGGCAACGGUGAAACUCAAAGGAAUUGACGGGG
RNAcentral lists this ribosomal RNA (393 nucleotides) under uncultured bacterium. Its description in RNAcentral is "partial 16S ribosomal RNA". It matches the Rfam family "Bacterial small subunit ribosomal RNA", at positions 523 to 918 of the family's 1533-position model. The record is from RNAcentral.